This 5833-nucleotide long non-coding RNA is filed under the name Brassica napus (rape). RNAcentral's name for it is "long non-coding RNA (BNAP_LNC008991)". Lineage: Eukaryota; Viridiplantae; Streptophyta; Magnoliopsida; Brassicales; Brassicaceae. The record is from RNAcentral.
CGCCGCGUCAUCUCCCUAACCAUAUUCUCCGCUCAGAUCUCCGGUCAGAUCCCUCCUGAAGUCGGUGACUUACCGUAUCUUCAGAAGCUUGUCUUCCGCAAAAUCACUAACCUCACCGGUCAGAUACCACACACCAUCACCAAGCUCAAGUAUCUCCGUUUUCUCAGGCUUAGCUGGACGAACCUUACCGGCCCGGUUCCUGAGUUUUUGAGUCAGCUCAUGGAUCUUGCCUACUUAAACCUUUCCUUCAAUUAUUUUUCUGGUUCCAUACCUAGCUCUCUCUCCUUGUUACCUAAACUUUCGUACGUUGAUCUUAGUCGGAAUAAGCUUACAGGUGAAUAAAUAUUUUAUCUCUAUUAAAAACUGAUUAUUAAAAAAAUUGAUUAUUAAUUAAACUGCUAUUUAUCUAACCACAACCUUUUAAUUUUCACUUAGGUACAAUACCAGAGUCAUUUGGAUCGUUUUCAGGAGAAGUCCCUGACCUUUUCCUAUCACAUAACCAGCUCUCCGGUUCUAUACCUAAAUCACUAGGCAACCUGGAUUUUAACCGGAUCGAUUUCUCAAGGAACAGGUUCAUAGGCGAUGCUUCGAUGUUGUUUGGAGCCAAUAAAACGACAUUUUCUAUUGAUUUAUCAAGAAACAUGUUCCAGUUCGAUCUCUCCCGUGUUGAGAUCCCUAAGACAUUUGGUAUCUUAGACUUGAAUCACAAUGGGAUCACAGGGAGUAUCCCGGUUCAGUGGACUGAAACUCCUUUCCAAAUCUUCAAUGUUAGCUACAACAGAUUGUGUGGACGCAUCCCCACUGGAGGGAAACUGCAGAUGUUUGAUUCUUAUGCAUAUUUUCACAAUAAGUGUUUAUGUGGUGCACCACUUGAUAGUUGCAAGUAAAGAUUCAAGCAGCCAAGCGUAUUACUAUUCUACUUUACCAAAAUAAUCCAAUAAGUCUAUAGACAACUGUAUGUUUUAUUUGGAUUGACUGAUUAAAAAAUCAACCAAACUUGCUUCAAAAUAUUUGUAAUACAAUCUUCCAGUUUGAAUCACAAUCAGCAUGUUAGACACAUUUAAAUGAAGAUCAAUCGCAAAGGUUCUUGUUAAUUAGAGGUUGUUGUAAAUAUCCUUUUUUUUUUUUUUGUAACACGAACUUAUAUUAAAAGUUCAAUGAGCAUAAAAGUCUACAACUGAAACAGAGGAUCCCAGAGCAUGCUCAAACGGUACAACGAAAAUAGAAAGCAUUACUAAACAUGGAAAGAUAUACCCUAUAAGAGGCGAGUCAAGCUCAACAAGAUGAAGAACCCCAUGGAGAAACUUCACCUUAAUCUCUAAGGCGAUUGUUCGACAUAACAAUUGAUAGUCGAAGACGACGUUGAAACACCAAUAAGAAGUGGAUGGACUGUUGACCAGCAAGAGCUUUUGGUGAGAAGCUCUAAAACCAUAGGCAACACCAAGAAAAUGAAGCCCUAUCUGACUUGAUUUGAAAAUGAAGCAAGCGCGAUCAGUUCUAAACUCAACAAAGCUUAUCAACGAGACUAGGUGAAUCUCAAAUGCUAGUUUAGCCUUCAUACGGACGUUUAGGACAAUGGAGUUGGAUGACGGAUUGAACGGUUUGAUCGGGUCAAAAUCUUAGACCUCAACAUUACCGUGUUGAAGCCAAUAACUUGUAACCAGAAUAGACCUGAGCAUGUAGUCAUCGCACUCGUUCUGCUUGAGCGUGUUGUUGUAAAUAUCCAUUAUCCACUUUUACGGCCAAACUUGUUGGUAUUCCGUUUCCGUUCGACAAUGGCAUAAAACAUUAAAUCAUAACCAUGUAGUAUAUAUGCAUGAUUUGACCAAGUGUAUAUAUCUGAAUCCGAAUGCUGACGUGUCAAUAAUAUUAUAUUACUAUAAACCACUAGACUAAGCUUGAUUAAAAGUUCUAGAUGUCGUUGUGUCGACCCCUAGACUAUACCCGUUAAUUGGUAAUUAUCUUAUUAUUAUUUAGUACUAAAAAGACAGUAGUAUAUUUUAGUAUAUAUUUUUUGAAUGAAUGUAAGACAAUAUUCAAACAAAAAUACUGGGUAACGUGCUUCUGUUUCCGAAAGGUGUUUUUAACUUCUAAAUAGAGAAAGAAUGAAGAAGAAAAGAAUGUAAAGAAUUAAUGAUUUAGGUGCCUAUUCUUGAGCCAAACCUUAUUGCUAUCCCAUCUGCAUAUGUUCUGUUUCCUUCUGUUUCUGAUAGUCCUACAGAUGCGUUUCUAGUUUGAUAGGUGGAGAAGGAGCUCCAUGCUUCUGACUGUUUCUCUCACGCCAGAUGUUAUAUACAUGUGCUCAGAGGCGUGCCUACAGUGUAUUGAAAAAGGCAUUCGCUUUCCCUAAAUAAUAUUACGUUUUCUAGGGCCCCAAAAUUUAAAAUAAUUUCUAGUUAAGUUGCUUAAACUUAUUUUUUUUUUAAAAACUAUCCACGAGAAUCGAAUAACUCAAUUUCUAAAUCCAUAUACAUUUUUUAUAGGACAUAAUAUAGCAUAUUUACGUAAUAAGUGUUAAACUUAUGUAUUUCGCGAAUGUGAUAUAUCAUAUUAAAAAAUUGUUUUUUUUAUAGUUGUAUAUAAAUUUAUUUUUAAAACUUGACUUAGGCUCCUGAAAUCCUUCGCACGGCACUGCAUGUGCUUUUCUAGUCAUAUUUUAGUGUCAUGAAAUAGUUUAGAUGCUAUUUUCUUAUUGGUGCAUCUCAUUUUUCAAAUCCUGUUUUGAAUUAUAUAAUUUUUUUUCUGAAAAGAUCAAAAUAGAAGCCUUGGUUGAGAAAGUAGUAGUACUCAAGUGGCACAUGUUGACUCCCAGCAUUUUGACACCAGCCAACCAUAUUCUCCACCGACAUCUUAUCACACCUAUUGACUAUUAAGGUUUUUCUAUCAAAUCAAAUAUCUAAUCUCGAUAGUGUAUAUAUCAUCAUCACACUUUCAACAAAAAUAUUCAAAACCAAACACCAUACAACAUGGAUCAUAAGACAAAUACGACACUGCUUUUCUCGCUCUUGUUUUUCAUUACACACCUCAGCAACGCGUUAUCAAAAGAUCUAUGUAACGAAAACGACAAAAACACCCUCCUCAAGAUCAAGAAGUCCCUAAACAACCCUUACCACCUCGCCUCGUGGCACCCCGAAACCGACUGCUGCUCCUGGUACUGCCUCGAAUGCGGCGACGCCACCGUUAACCACCGCGUCAUCUCCCUAACCAUAUUCGCCGGUCAGAUAUCCGGUCAGAUCCCGCCUGAAGUCGGUGACUUACCGUAUCUUCAGAAGCUUGUCUUCCGCAAACUCACUAACCUCACCGGUCAGAUCCCACACAGCAUCACCAAGCUCAAGUAUCUCACGUUUCUAUGGCUUAGCUGGACGAACCUCACCGGCCCGGUUCCUGAUUUUCUUAGUCAGCUCGUGAAUCUUGACUACUUAAACCUUUCGUUCAAUGAGCUUUCUGGUUCAGUACCUAGCUCUCUCUCCCUGUUACCUAAACUUACGUACAUUGAUCUUAGUAGGAAUAAGCUUACAGGUGAAUAACUCUUUUAUGUAUAAAAAAACGAUUAUAAAAAAUAAACUGUUUAUUACAUUGUUAUUUUUCUAUUCACAACGUUUUAACUUUCACUUAGGUACAAUACCAGAGUCAUUUGGAUCGUUUCCAGGAGAAGUUCCUUACCUUAUCUUAUCACACAACCAGCUCUCCGGUUCUAUACCCAAAUCACUAGGCAACCUUGAUUUUAACCGGAUAGAUUUCUCAAGGAACAAGCUCACAGGCGAUGCUUCGAUGUUGUUUGGAGCCAACAAAACGACGUUUUCCAUUGACUUAUCAAGAAACAUGUUCCAGUUUGAUCUGUCCAGAGUUGUGCUCCCUCAGUCACUUGGUGUACUGGAUUUGAACCACAAUGGGAUCACAGGGAGUAUUCCGGUUCAGUGGACUGAAUAUUCUCUCCAACUCUUAAACGUUAGCUAUAACAGACUGUGUGGACCCAUCCCCACUGGAGGCAGUCUUCAGAGAUUUGAUUCUUAUAUAUAUUUUCACAACAAGUGUUUGUGUGGUGCACCUCUUGAUAGUUGCAAGUAAUAAACCAAGCUUAUCUCUAGUUUUCCCAAAAAAAAAAAUGUAAUAUCAUCCAGAUUGAUUAAAUAAAACAUGUAUCACAACUUGUAUUUUGAUGAGUUCUUAGAACAUUUUUAAAGUGAAAAUGAAGGUAGAGCUUACCACAAAUAGAGGAAGAAUAAGGACGAAUACUUAUCCUCUAUUUUCACUUAUAAGAGCAUGAUUAAUGGAGAGUUCUUAGGGUGAGGUUCUUAGCGGAAUAUAAAAAACCGUUUCUUGUUCUUAGCGGAAUAUAAAAAACCGUUUCUUAACUUUUAACUAAAAAAACUAAGAACCUUAUUUAACAUCUAGAGCUUCCGUGUCCGAAAGGUGUUUUUAACUUCUAAAUAGAGAAAGAAUAAAGAAGAAAAGAAUGUAAAGAAUGAUUUAGGUGCUUAUCCUUGAGCCAAACCAUAUUGCUAUCCCAUCUGCAUAUGUUCUGUUUCUGAUAGUCCUAUAGAUGCUUUUCUAGUUUGAUAGGUGGAGAAGGAUCAGCUCCAUGCUUUUUCUCUCACGCCAGAUGUUAUUUCAUGUCAGAUGCUUUUCUAGUCAUAUUUUAGUUUCAUGAAAUACAUUUAGAUGCUAUUUUCUUUUUGGUGCAUCUCAUUUUUCAAAUCCUGUUUUAAAUUAUAUAAAUUUUCUCAUUUCGAAAAUAAAACUAUUUGUGGAAACUGUUUUAAAAUUGUAUCAAAAGCAAAUUUCAUAUAUUGAAGCUUAAAAGUGCUUCGUGUAAGAUUAUAAACCCAAACAUUUAUAUACAUAUGAAUUUUUUUUUUUUAAUCAGAAAAUAGAAGCCGUGGCUGAGAGAGUAGUAGUACUCAAGUGGCACAUGUUGACUGCCAGCAUGUUGGCACCAGCCAACCAUAUUCAACACCGACAUCUUAAUCACACGUAUUGACUGACUAUUAAGGUUUCUAUCAAAUCAAAUAUCUAAUCUCGAUAGUGUUUAUAUCAUCGUCACACUUUCAACAAAAAAAAUAUUCAAAACCAAACACCAUACAACAUGGAUCAUAAGACAAACACGACACUGCUUUUCUCGCUCUUGUUUUUCAUCACGUACCUCAUCACCAUCGCGACAUCGAAAGAUCUAUGUAACCAAAACGACAAAAACACCCUCCUUAAAAUCAAGAAGUCCCUAAACAACCCUUACCACCUCGCCUCGUGGCACCCCGAAACCGACUGCUGCUCCUGGUACUGCCUCGAAUGCGGCGACGCCACAGUUAACCACCGCGUCAUCUCCCUAACCAUAUUCGCCGGUCAGAUAUCCGGUCAGAUCCCGCCUGAAGUCGGUGACUUACCGUAUCUUCAGAGUCUUAUGUUCCACAGGAUCACUAACAUCACCGGUCAGAUCCCAUCCACCAUCACCAAGCUUAAGUAUCUCCGUUCUCUCAGGCUUAGCUGGUUGAACCUCACCGGCCCGGUUCCUGAGUUUCUGAGUCAGCUCAUGAAUCUUGAAUACUUAAGCCUUUCCUUCAAUCAGCUCUCUGGUUCCAUACCUAGCUCUCUCGCUUUGUUACCUAAACUUUCUUACGUUGAUCUUAGUAGGAAUAAGCUUACAGGUACAAUAAGUACUCUCUUUGAUUCUAUUAUUUCUUUGGUGUAACUUUGAUUAUAUUUAUUCAUUGAUUUAAAUAUGAUUUGUUUUGAACUUUUUAAAAUAUGAUUAUUAACUGUACUUUUUUUUCUUCAAAUAUAACUUUCAUGCUUAGGUACAAUACCAGAGUCAUUUGGAUCGUUUCCAGCAGAACUU